CAUUUGCCACUUUAAUACGCUGUUCCAUAUUCUGACAAUGUGAUCUAUGUCAUUCCUUCAUGUCAUGUUUAAUGAGCUUUAGGUUUUCUUUUCACAUAAAAUUCAUAUGCAAAGAUUUGUCAAACCCCUUUAUAAAAGCAUCUUGUCACAUAUUUGUCCAUAAUGGAAAAUAUCAAAAUAUAUUUUUGUAUUUUGUAUGACUUAUGCAAUCAUAAAUCUCUUCUAGCAACAACAACAUUAUCUUCUUUCCACUCUUAUUUUUCAACAUUAUUAGAUGCUAGUCACAAACCAAACAUAAACUUCCAAAAACAGUUAUAAUUUAUGCAUAGUACUAUUACUAAUAUAUUCACAUGCAUAACUGUAUAAUAUAUUUCACAUGUCAUGCUAAGAAGUUCCUACGUGUCUUGCAUAUAAGAAUUGUCAGAUAUCAUACUCUAGAGUAUGUGGUUCCUCUAUCUAUCCCGUGAUCAAACAGUGAUUCAAAUUCAAUUAUUCUUAUGCAUCCACAUCAACUAGGAACAAACUUCCAAAAUAUACUUGGUAAACUUUUUGGAUUUUUCCUGAAAAAUAAAACUACUUUUAAAUACUUAUCUAUCUAGUAGGUAUGCUUGUGUUUUUCUAUUAUUACAUUUUCAAUUUUUGAGAUACAUUAUAAAAUAUGGAUACUCAUUGGAUUAGGACUAUACCGGUACAUGUCGUUGUCUGUGUUUGUGUCCGUGCUUUAUAGGUGAUACAUAGUUGAAUAGUAAAAUCUUUUUUUUUUUACAAAAGUUGAAUAGUAUAAUCAUAUAAGAUUAUGAAAUUGUAAUAUAUUGUUGAAUAGUAAAAUAAUAUAACAUUUUGUAAUACAUUGUUUAAGAAAACAAACCUGAAACCACAUUUUUUAAUUAGUUAAAGAUUAUAGGUAUUAGCAUGAUUGCACAAAAUAGUCUUUCUUAUUUAGGUAUUUACACAAACCCUAAUUUAAUUUGAUUGUCUUUAUCAUAGACAGCUAAAGGAAACUAGUCUACAAAAUCUUAUUAUUUAGAUUGUUUUCAUAGACAGCUAGAAGAAACAAAGAGCAGUAAAAAGAUAGAGGACUAGAUUCUAUUUUUGUUUUCAACAAGUUUCUUGCACGAUAGUUAACCCUAUUUGAGGCAUUGUGUUACACUAAAUGUGAAAUUUCGUUUGUGUGCACUCAAAACAUAUCAUGUAAUUACACACUCGGUACAUUCCUGGUUCUUCGAUUAAAAUCGGACAAGUCAAAUUUCAACCUCAAUAUUAUAGAUUUUAAAAUGUAUUCAAAACCUGCAACGUCCGAUCUUAAUUCAACAACUAUCGAUGUGUCAACUGUGUUAAUGCACGAGAUUUUGACUGCAUGCAAUCCAAAUCCCUAAAUGUGGAUAACUCUCUCCCUCGGAAUUCAAAUUUUAGUUCGCCACAUUAUGGGUUACUACCUAUUCGCUAGACCCAAUAUCGGUUAGUGGAAUAGUUCAUAUUCAAACAAUGGGUAUUACUAAGUAAAGUAGAACAAGUAACCAUUUUACGGUCGUUUCUGAAGAGAUUUGAACUCAAGUUAGUUGAAGUUAAAAGAUCAAACUCUUAUUACUGAUGUGACAUAUGAUUGAGAAAUAGUGUCUUAAAUAUAUUUAUAUAGACCUUCAUUAUUUAUUUAAAAGCACAAUACAAAUUUGCAUUCCCUUCACAAGAAGACAUUAUUUCUGAAAACUCAAACCUCAUCACAAUGUCUUGGUUCCUUACAAUUCUGUUUCUCAGUCUCACAUUUGGUACUAAUUUUUCAGAAGCAAACCAUGACAACAAGAAGCUUCUUCCUUCACCUGUUGUAGUUGGCACUGUCUACUGUGACACAUGUUUUCAACAAGCUUUCUCUCUAAACAGCCACUUCAUUUCAGGUAAUCCAUUUCAACCUCAAAAGGGUACUUCAAUUUUAUAUCUCUUAAAAUGUUGUAAAAUUUUUCUAAACCUUAUCAUAUUUUAUUUUGUCCUUGUUUUUAUGUAUAGGUGCAUCAAUAGCUGUUGAAUGCAAAAUAGGAAAAACAAAACCAAGAUUCUAUAAAGAAGUGAAAACAAAUGAACAUGGAGAAUUCAAAGUGAAACUACCUUUCUUAGUGAAGAAACAUGUGAAGAGAAUCAAAGGGUGUAAUUUUAAGUUGUUAAGUAGUAAUGAACCAAAUUGUGCUAUAGCCUCAACUUCUACUUCAUCUUCACUAAGCCUAAAGAAAAAGUUGCAACAAGAACACAUUUUUUCAGCUGGGAUUUUCUCAUUCAAGCCUAUAAAAAAACCAAAAUUUUGUGACAAAAAACAUAGUAUUCAUAACCUUAAGAAACAACAUAGUUAUGUGAAAAAUUUGGAACAAUCAAAAUUUUCAAGCAAAAAUAAAGUACCUAAUGAAGUUGAAGAUUUCUUCUUUUUUCCUCCAAACCCUUUUUUUCCACCACCUAUUAUCCCUAAUCCACUUCAACCUCCACCUUUGAUUCCUAACCCUUUGCAACCACCACCUUUGAUUCCAAAUCCAUUUCAACCACCAAGUCCACCCUUGAUUCCUAAUCCAUUUCAACCACCAAGUCCACCACUUAUUCCAAAUCCAUUUCAACCUCCUCCAUCAAAUCCACCACUUAUUCCUAAUCCAUUUCAACCUCCCCCAGCAAGUCCUCCACCACUCAUUCCAAAUCCAUUUCAGCCUCCACCAUCAAGUCCACCACCAUCAUUUCCUUUUCCACCAAUAGUAAUACCAGGUUUAACUCCAUCACCACCGCCGCCGCCACCACCAAAAUCAAUUUUUCCUGCUCCCUUA
RNAcentral lists this long non-coding RNA (2795 nucleotides) under Medicago truncatula (barrel medic). RNAcentral describes it as "long non-coding RNA (MTRU_LNC003856)". The record is from RNAcentral. Lineage: Eukaryota; Viridiplantae; Streptophyta; Magnoliopsida; Fabales; Fabaceae.